RNAcentral lists this ribosomal RNA (498 nucleotides) under uncultured bacterium. Its description in RNAcentral is "partial 16S ribosomal RNA". It matches the Rfam family "Bacterial small subunit ribosomal RNA", at positions 30 to 523 of the family's 1533-position model. The record is from RNAcentral.
AUUGAACGCUGGCGGCAUGCCUUACACACGCAAGUCGAACGGCAGCACGGGAGCAAUCCUGGUGGCGAGUGGCGAACGGGUGAGUAAAGUAUCGGAACGUGCCCAGUCGUGGGGGAUAACGUAGCGAAAGUUACGCUAAUACCGCAUACGAUCUAUGGAUGAAAGCGGGGAUCGCAAGACCUCGCGCGAUUGGAGCGGCCGAUAUCAGAUUAGGUAGUUGGUGGGGUAAGGCUCACCAAGCCGACGAUCUGUAGCUGGUCUGAGAGGACGACCAGCCACACUGGGACUGAGACACGGCCCAGACUCCUACGGGAGUCAGCAGUGGGGAAUUUUGGACAAUGGGCGAAAGCCUGAUCCAGCCAUGCCGCGUGCAGGAUGAAGGCCUUCGGGUUGUAAACUGCUUUUGUACGGAACGAAAAGGUUUGGCCUAAUAAGCUGAGCUCAUGACGGUACCGUAAGAAUAAGCACCGGCUAACUACGUGCCAGCAGCCGCCGUAA